CUUGCUCUAUUUGUCUCCUUAGGUCUGUCAAAACAGCAAUACAUUAACAUUAGAAAAUCAGCACAAGAAGAACAUUGUAACAUUUAUCCGUCCUAAUAUCAGAUCCAGCAAGCGAAACAAGAAUGUUUCCCUCCAAAGUGUUCAAUAAUGGUCACUGACACAUUCGCAAAAAUAACUCUUCAAUCUUUACUGGAUACUACCGCAAGAAGAAUUUUGAAUAUUUCAGAUUACCGUAAUAAAAUUGAAGGCAAUAGCGAGCUUACGCUCUUUGGAAAAUGUGGUUUUGAUGGUGCAUCAGGACAAAGCGUGUAUAAACAAACCUUUGAUACGAUGAAACGAUGAAUGUCGAUGACUCUAGUAUUUUUAUUUCAGCUUACGUUCCAUUAAGACUAGUUCAUUCCAAUGACUGUACAAAGGUUAUAUGGGAAAAUCCAAAACCAUCAUCAACAUUUUAUUGCAGACCGCUUUGCUUUCAAUUUGUAAAAGAAUUCAAGGAAAUUAUUUUACAGUGUUCGGAGUCCUUGAAUGAAGAAAAAAGCCAUGCUUACCACAACAUUUUUUUCUGGUGGUGUUUCUAUCAAACAUGAAAUUUUUACAACCAUGAUUGAUGGAAAAAUUUGUUCGUGUUUAGCGGGCGCGUCAACAAUGGUCUGUUACAUAUGCGGAGCAAAGCCUAGUAAAAUGAACAAUAUGAAGGUCAUCGAGAAAAAAAUUCCGAAUGAGGACAAGUACGCUUUGGGGCUUUCUACUCUUCACUCUUGGAUCAGAGCUUUAGAAUGUGUGCUCCACAUAUCCUACAAUUUAGAUUUAAAAAAAUGGUCUGCAAAAACUUCCCAAGAAAAACAAUAAAAGGAAACAAGGAAAAAAGAAAUUCAAAAAAGGAGGAAAUGGGUCUACACGUGGAUUUUGUAAAGCAAAGGCUGGGAACGUCAAACGAUGGAAACACAGCAAGAAGAUUUUUUUUUAAUUUUGAAAAAUCUGCCGAUAUAACCGGCAUAGAUCAAACUUUAAUAAAAAACUUUUACAUUAUUCUACAAGUAUUAGCGUCUGGAGAAAAUAUCAUUCCAGAAAGAUUUGAUAAAUUUGCCAAGGAAACAGCUAAAUUAAAUACUAAUUAAUAGCUAAUUAGAUAAUAAUUAGCUACUAAUAAUAUGUAGAGUUGUAUGGAUGGUACUACAUACUGGCAUCUAUACACAAACUUCUCAUGCAUGGAGCCGACAUAAUAAGAAAUUUUAUAUUCCCUAUAGGCAACCUUUCAGAAGAAGCAGCAGAGGCGAGGAAUAAACAUUUUCGCCAUUACAGACAGUUCCACGCAAGAAAAAGUAGUAGGAUAUUUACAAACGAAGAUAUUUUACAUAAUCUAAUUCUCUCAUCAGAUCCAUUCAUAUCUACCAUAAGAUUAAAAUCUGAUAACAAAAAACUAACUAUCAUGACAGAAGAGGCUCUUUCCUUGAUUAAUUUGAAAACUAAAUUUAUUUACCUAGUUUUUUAUUAUUUGUUUGUUGUUUGUUGUUAUUGUUAUGUUAUGAGAAUAAUAGGUAUGGUAUACUUUGGGCAAAAAUGAAAAUUGUCUUUGUCAAUUCUCUCUAUUCUGAUUGAACAUCAAAACCAGUGAGUGAGUGCUAGUUAUUAAACUCUAUUGCUCUUGGAAGAAAUAAUAAAAUAUUAACUCUUCAUAUGUCAUG
Anthonomus grandis grandis is the source of this 1685-nucleotide long non-coding RNA. RefSeq lists it as uncharacterized. NCBI's taxonomy places the organism in Eukaryota, Metazoa, Arthropoda, Insecta, Coleoptera, Curculionidae. The transcript is spliced from 3 exons. The record is from RefSeq and is a predicted model, not a curated record.